This 300-nucleotide ribosomal RNA is filed under the name Aristaeomorpha foliacea. Its description in RNAcentral is "partial 16S ribosomal RNA". It matches the Rfam family "Bacterial large subunit ribosomal RNA", at positions 2017 to 2519 of the family's 2925-position model. Lineage: Eukaryota; Metazoa; Arthropoda; Malacostraca; Decapoda; Aristeidae. The record is from RNAcentral.
UGUCUCGGUUAUACAAUUUGAAUUUAACUUUUAAGUGAAAAGGCUUAAAUAAUCUAAGGGGACGAUAAGACCCUAUAAAGCUUUACAAUAAAUUAAAUAUAUUAAAAUCUGUUAGUGUAACUUACUAUAUUUAGAGUUUGUUUCGUUGGGGCGACGAGAAUAUAAUGAAUAACUGUUCUUUUUAAAAAUAAACAAUAAUAAUUGGUUAAAGAUUGAUCCUUUAUUAAAGAUUAAAAGAUUAAGUUACUUUAGGGAUAACAGCGUAAUCUUCUUCAAGAGUUCAGAUCGACAAGAAGGGUU